AUUAGAGUUUGAUCAUGGCUCAGGACGAACGCUGGCGGCGUGCUUAACACAUGCAAGUCGAACGAUGAAGCCCAGCUUGCUGGGUGGAAGAGUGGCGAACGGGUGAGUAACACGUGAGUAACCUGCCCUUCACUCUGGGAUAAGCGCUGGAAACGGCGUCUAAUACUGGAUACGACCCUUACAGGCAUCUGUUGGGGGUGGAAAGAUUUAUCGGUGAAGGAUGGGCUCGCGGCCUAUCAGGUAGUUGGUGAGGUAACGGCUCACCAAGCCGACGACGGGUAGCCGGCCUGAGAGGGUGACCGGCCACACUGGGACUGAGACACGGCCCAGACUCCUACGGGAGGCAGCAGUGGGGAAUAUUGCACAAUGGGCGAAAGCCUGAUGCAGCAACGCCGCGUGAGGGAUGACGGCCUUCGGGUUGUAAACCUCUUUUAGUAGGGAAGAAGCGAGAGUGACGGUACCUGCAGAAAAAGCACCGGCUAACUACGUGCCAGCAGCCGCGGUAAUAAU
This 510-nucleotide ribosomal RNA is filed under the name uncultured bacterium. Its description in RNAcentral is "bacterial SSU rRNA". It matches the Rfam family "Bacterial small subunit ribosomal RNA", at positions 1 to 526 of the family's 1533-position model. The record is from RNAcentral.